Molecule: ribosomal RNA, 248 nt
Filed under: uncultured Streptomyces sp.
Lineage: Bacteria; Bacillati; Actinomycetota; Actinomycetes; Kitasatosporales; Streptomycetaceae
Description: partial 16S ribosomal RNA
Rfam family: Bacterial small subunit ribosomal RNA
Source: RNAcentral
GGAUGAGCCCGCGGCCGGUCAGCUUGUUGGUGGGGUAAUGGCCUACCAAGGCGACGACGGGUAGCCGGCCUGAGAGGGCGACCGGCCACACUGGGACUGAGACACGGCCGUGACUCCUACGGGAGGCAGCAGUGGGGAAUAUUGCACAAUGGGCGAAAGCCUGAUGCAGCGACGCCGCGUGAGGGAUGACGGCCUUCGGGUUGUAAACCUCUUUCAAUAGGAAGAAGCGCAAGUGACGGUACCUGCAA